AUCGCUUCUCCGCCUUUUGGCUAAGAUCAAGUGUAGUAUCUGUUCUUAUCAGUUUAAUAUUUGAUAUGUCCUGUAUUCGAGGACAAUAUAUUAAAUGGAUUUUUAGAAAAAAUAAAAGGCAAAUUGAAACUGAGUGUGGUGGCACGCACUGAUUGCCCAGCUGCCCAGUGGAGGAUGGCUUGAGCCCAAGAUUUCGAGGCCAGCCUAAGCAAC
This 213-nucleotide small nuclear RNA is filed under the name Carlito syrichta (Philippine tarsier). Its description in RNAcentral is "U2 spliceosomal RNA (ENSTSYG00000036037.1)". The stretch from base 1 to 117 matches the Rfam family "U2 spliceosomal RNA". From Rfam's summary of the family: U2 is a small nuclear RNA (snRNA) component of the spliceosome (involved in pre-mRNA splicing). Complementary binding between U2 snRNA (in an area lying towards the 5' end but 3' to hairpin I) and the branchpoint sequence (BPS) of the intron results the bulging out of an unpaired adenosine, on the BPS, which initiates a nucleophilic attack at the intronic 5' splice site, thus starting the first of two transesterification reactions that mediate splicing. Lineage: Eukaryota; Metazoa; Chordata; Mammalia; Primates; Tarsiidae. The record is from RNAcentral.